Molecule: long non-coding RNA, 688 nt
Filed under: Monodelphis domestica (gray short-tailed opossum)
Lineage: Eukaryota; Metazoa; Chordata; Mammalia; Didelphimorphia; Didelphidae
Description: lncRNA (ENSMODG00000033153.2)
Source: RNAcentral
CUUGUAUUCCUGCCUGACUUGAGUGCAUUGUUACACAUGGAAGGAGGACUACUUCAUGAGAGACAAGGGUGAAGGAGGAGAAAGUGGAAGAAGGCAUCUGAAUGAGGAAGUAUGUGCUAUGAUUAUUCCCAUUUUACAAUUGUGAAAACGAAGACAAAUGGAGUUUAAGUGAUUUGCCAAAGCUCCUAUGGCCACUACUGUAUCCUGGCAGUUGGUGGAAGCAGUCAUCAAGCAAUCCAGAAGAAGAAAGAGGAAGCAAAGCAGAGAACAGAGAACCGGAAAAAAAGGUACAGCUUGGAUAAAUCACUCAGCAUCCUCAAUUGUAAAACAAGGGUAUUAACUAAUAUAGCCAUCCAUCUCAAGAUCUAUGAUAUGAUUACGAUCAUUCCAAUUUAUAAAUGAGGGAACUAAGUCUAGGAGAGGGUAAAUAAUUUACACAGGGUUUCAUAUUAAACAUCGGAGGUAGGAUUUAAACUCAAGUUUUCAUGACUUCACAUCCAGUCUUUUAUAUGCUACUCCUACCUCUAAUAAUUGCUAAUGCCUAGGCUACACUUUACCAAGUGGCAUACAUCCUAAGAGAACUGUGUGCCAAUUAGUAAGUUAUCACCUCCUGGGGGAAUCUCUCUCCUUCAAGGAAUAAUCAUUGCUGCCACAAAGACUAUAGUGAACCAAGGGAUUAAACCCUUUG